AUUGAACGCUGGCGGCAUGCUUUACACAUGCAAGUCGAACGGCAGCGCGGGGGCAACCCUGGCGGCGAGUGGCGAACGGGUGAGUAAUGCAUCGGAACGUAUCCUGUAAUGGGGGAUAACGUAGCGAAAGUUACGCUAAUACCGCAUACGCUCGAGAGAGGAAAGUGGGGGGUCGCAAGACCUCACGUUAUAGGAGCGGCCGAUGUCCGAUUAGCUAGUUGGUGGGGUAAAGGCCUACCAAGGCGACGAUCGGUAGCUGGUCUGAGAGGAUGAUCAGCCACACUGGGACUGAGACACGGCCCAGACUCCUACGGGAGGCAGCAGUGGGGAAUUUUGGACAAUGGGCGAAAGCCUGAUCCAGCCAUGCCGCGUGCGGGAAGAAGGCCU
Molecule: ribosomal RNA, 387 nt
Filed under: uncultured bacterium
Lineage: Bacteria
Description: bacterial SSU rRNA
Rfam family: Bacterial small subunit ribosomal RNA
Source: RNAcentral